GACGUAGGGCGCGAGCGUUGUCCGGAUUUAUUGGACGUAAAGAGCUCGUAGGCGGCUCGUUGCGUCGGCUGUGAAAACCCGCAGCUCAACUGUGGGCUUGCAGCUGAUACGGGCGGGCUGGGAUUCGGUAGGGGAGACUGGAAUUCCUGGUGUAGCGGUGAAAUGCGCAGAUAUCAGGAGGAACACCGGUGGCGAAGGCGGGUCUCUGGGCCGAUAUCGACGCUGAGGAGCGAAAGCGUGGGGAGCGAACAGG
This 253-nucleotide ribosomal RNA is filed under the name uncultured bacterium. Its description in RNAcentral is "partial 16S ribosomal RNA". It matches the Rfam family "Bacterial small subunit ribosomal RNA", at positions 524 to 776 of the family's 1533-position model. The record is from RNAcentral.